GUUGGUUUCUCUUCUACAUUUGUUAUCCUCUGUUGCAAUCCAAGUGCAUCAGAUAAUAUAUAGUAGAGAUGGCAAAGGUGCAAGUGCAUCGGAGCAGCAAGGAUUUCAAGCUACUAAGACUGCCCAACCUCGCAAGCGACUGUUUUUCCGAAAAAUGAACGACCGAAAAACGAGAAAAUUUAAAUAAAUAAAUAAAUAAAAAGAAGGGGGCAUGGGAUUUUAUGAGGGUGCAACUCUUUUCUUUUUCUUUUUUUUUUUAUAUUUUGUAUAUUUUUUUGAACUAUAUAUUCUUUAACAACGUGCAAAGAGAUGUAUAGCACAAUAGAUAACAAUCAUCAGAGAUAAAAGGGGUUCAUGCUUCCCGGGUAUCCUUGCGUUACCCGGUUAAUUACACCCUUUUUGUUA
Ananas comosus (pineapple) is the source of this 405-nucleotide long non-coding RNA. RefSeq lists it as uncharacterized. Lineage: Eukaryota; Viridiplantae; Streptophyta; Magnoliopsida; Poales; Bromeliaceae. The record is from RefSeq and is a predicted model, not a curated record. The transcript has 2 exons.